This 253-nucleotide ribosomal RNA is filed under the name uncultured bacterium. Its description in RNAcentral is "partial 16S ribosomal RNA". It matches the Rfam family "Bacterial small subunit ribosomal RNA", at positions 524 to 776 of the family's 1533-position model. The record is from RNAcentral.
UACGGGGGGGGCAAGCGUUGUUCGGAAUUACUGGGCGUAAAGGGUUCGUAGGUGGCUUGCUAAGUCAGACGUGAAAUCCCUCAGCUUAACUGGGGAACUGCGUCUGAGACUGGUGAGCUUGAGUGCAGGAGAGGAACGCGGAAUUCCAGGUGUAGCGGUGAAAUGCGUAGAUAUCUGGAGGAACACCGGUGGCGAAGGCGGCGUUCUGGACUGCUACUGACACGGAGGAACGAAAGCCAGGGGAGCAAACGGG